Molecule: small RNA, 720 nt
Filed under: Pongo abelii (Sumatran orangutan)
Lineage: Eukaryota; Metazoa; Chordata; Mammalia; Primates; Hominidae
Description: processed transcript
Source: RNAcentral
GGGAGGGGACGGCGCGCACCUGGCAGAUGGGCCGGAUCGCGGCGGGAGAGCGGGUAGCGGGCUCGGCUGGCUGGGGCUCAGGCAGUAACAGAGAAGAAUUUUGAAACAAAAGAUUUUCGAGCCUCUCUGGAAAACGGUGUUCUGCUGUGUGAUUUGAUUAAUAAGCUUAAACCUGGUGUCAUUAAGAAGAUCAAUAGACUGUCUACACCAAUAGCAGGAUUGGAUAAUAUAAACGUUUUCUUGAAAGCUUGUGAACAGAUUGGAUUGAAAGAAGCCCAGCUUUUCCAUCCUGGAGAUCUACAGGAUUUAUCAAAUCGAGUCACUGUCAAGCAAGAAGAGACUGAUAGGAGAGUGAAAAAUGUUUUGAUAACAUUGUACUGGCUGGGAAGAAAAGCACAAAGCAACCCGUACUAUAAUGGUCCCCAUCUUAAUUUGAAAGCGUUUGAGAAUCUUUUAGGACAAGCACUGACGAAGGCACUUGAAGACUCCAGCUUCCUGAAAAGAAGUGGCAGGGACAGUGGCUACGGUGACAUCUGGUGUCCUGAACGUGGAGAAUUUCUUGCUCCUCCAAGGCACCAUAAGAGAGAAGAUUCCUUUGAAAGCUUGGACUCUUUGGGCUCGAGGUCAUUGACAAGCUGCUCCUCUGAUAUCACGCUGAGAGUGGGGCGUGAAGGUUUUGAAAGUGACACAGAUUCGGAAUUUACAUUCAAGAUGCAGGAU